GUGAGGAAUAUUGGUCAAUGGACGCAAGUCUGAACCAGCCAUGCCGCGUGCAGGAUGACGGUCCUAUGGAUUGUAAACUGCUUUUGUACGAGAAGAAACCUUUCUACGUGUAGAAAGCUGACGGUAUCGUAAGAAUAAGGAUCGGCUAACUCCGUGCCAGCAGCCGCGGUAAUACGGAGGAUCCAAGCGUUAUCCGGAAUCAUUGGGUUUAAAGGGUCCGUAGGCGGCCUUGUAAGUCAGUGGUGAAAUCUCCCCGCUCAACGGGGAAACUGCCAUUGAUACUGCAGGGCUUGAAUUAUGGUGAAGUAACUAGAAUAUGUAGUGUAGCGGUGAAAUGCUUAGAGAUUACAUGGAAUACCAAUUGCGAAGGCAGGUUACUAACCAUAUAUUGACGCUGAUGGACGAAAGCGUGGGGAGCGAACAGGAUUAGAAACCCCGGUAGUCC
Molecule: ribosomal RNA, 445 nt
Filed under: uncultured bacterium
Lineage: Bacteria
Description: bacterial SSU rRNA
Rfam family: Bacterial small subunit ribosomal RNA
Source: RNAcentral